This 301-nucleotide ribosomal RNA is filed under the name uncultured bacterium. RNAcentral's name for it is "partial 16S ribosomal RNA". It matches the Rfam family "Bacterial small subunit ribosomal RNA", at positions 509 to 809 of the family's 1533-position model. The record is from RNAcentral.
CAGCCGCCGCGGUAAAACGAAGGGGGCUAGCGUUGUUCGGAAUUACUGGGCGUAAAGCGCACGUAGGCGGACAUUUAAGUCAGGGGUGAAAUCCCGGGGCUCAACCCCGGAACUGCCUUUGAUACUGGGUGUCUAGAGUAUGGAAGAGGUGAGUGGAAUUCCGAGUGUAGAGGUGAAAUUCGUAGAUAUUCGGAGGAACACCAGUGGCGAAGGCGGCUCACUGGUCCAUUACUGACGCUGAGGUGCGAAAGCGUGGGGAGCAAACAGGAUUAGAUACCCCGGUAGUCCCUGUCUCUUAUAA